UACGUAGGGCGCAAGCGUUGUCCGGAAUUAUUGGGCGUAAAGAGCUCGUAGGCGGCUUGUCACGUCGGGUGUGAAAGCCCGGGGCUUAACCCCGGGUCUGCAUUCGAUACGGGCUAGCUAGAGUGUGGUAGGGGAGAUCGGAAUUCCUGGUGUAGCGGUGAAAUGCGCAGAUAUCGGGAGGAACACCGGUGGCGAAGGCGGUUCUCUGGGCCUUACCUGACACUGAGGAGCGAAAGCGUGGGGAGCGAACAGG
Molecule: ribosomal RNA, 253 nt
Filed under: uncultured bacterium
Lineage: Bacteria
Description: partial 16S ribosomal RNA
Rfam family: Bacterial small subunit ribosomal RNA
Source: RNAcentral